AGGGGUAUAGUUCAAUGGUAGAGUGUAUACUUAGCAUGCCUGAGGUCCUGGGUUCAAUCCUCAGUACCUCCA
Molecule: transfer RNA, 72 nt
Filed under: Camelus bactrianus (Bactrian camel)
Lineage: Eukaryota; Metazoa; Chordata; Mammalia; Artiodactyla; Camelidae
Also listed under: 2 other names
Rfam family: tRNA
About the family: Transfer RNA (tRNA) molecules are approximately 80 nucleotides in length. Their secondary structure includes four short double-helical elements and three loops (D, anti-codon, and T loops). Further hydrogen bonds mediate the characteristic L-shaped molecular structure. tRNAs have two regions of fundamental functional importance: the anti-codon, which is responsible for specific mRNA codon recognition, and the 3' end, to which the tRNAs corresponding amino acid is attached (by aminoacyl-tRNA synthetases). tRNAs cope with the degeneracy of the genetic code in two manners: having more than one tRNA (with a specific anti-codon) for a particular amino acid; and 'wobble' base-pairing, i.e. permitting non-standard base-pairing at the 3rd anti-codon position.
Source: Rfam by way of RNAcentral